GACGAACGCUGGCGGCGUGCUUAACACAUGCAAGUCGAACGGAAAGGCCCUGCUUUUGUGGGGUGCUCGAGUGGCGAACGGGUGAGUAACACGUGAGUAACCUGCCCUUGACUUUGGGAUAACUUCAGGAAACUGGGGCUAAUACCGGAUAGGAGCUCCUGCUGCAUGGUGGGGGUUGGAAAGUUUCGGCGGUUGGGGAUGGACUCGCGGCUUAUCAGCUUGUUGGUGGGGUAGUGGCUUACCAAGGCUUUGACGGGUAGCCGGCCUGAGAGGGUGACCGGCCACAUUGGGACUGAGAUACGGCCCAGACUCCUACGGGAGGCAGCAGUGGGGAAUAUUGCACAAUGGGCGGAAGCCUGAUGCAGCAACGCCGCGUGCGGGAUGACGGCCUUCGGGUUGUAAACCGCUUUCGCCUGUGACGAAGCGUGAGUGACGGUAAUGGGUAAAGAAGCACCGGCUAACUACGUGCCAGCAGCCGCGGUGAUACGUAGGGUGCGAGCGUUGUCCGGAUUUAUUGGGCGUAAAGGGCUCGUAGGUGGUUGAUCGCGUCGGAAGUGUAAUCUCGGGGCUUAACCCUGAGCGUGCUUUCGAUACGAGUUGACUUGAGGAAGGUAGGGGAGAAUGGAAUUCCUGGUGGAGCGGUGGAAUGCGCAGAUAUCAGGAGGAACACCAGUGGCGAAGGCGGUUCUCUGGGCCUUUCCUGACGCUGAGGAGCGAAAGCGUGGGGAGCGAACAGGCUUAGAUACCCUGGUAGUCCACGCUGUAAACGGUGGGUACUAGGUGUGGGGUCCAUUCCACGGGUUCCGUGCCGUAGCUAACGCUUUAAGUACCCCGCCUGGGGAGUACGGCCGCAAGGCUAAAACUCAAAGGAAUUGACGGGGCCCCGCACAAGCGGCGGAGCAUGCGGAUUAAUUCGAUGCAACGCGUAGAACCUUACCUGGGUUUGACAUGGAUCGGGAGUGCUCAGAGAUGGGUGUGCCUCUUUUGGGGUCGGUUCACAGGUGGUGCAUGGCUGUCGUCAGCUCGUGUCGUGAGAUGUUGGGUUAAGUCCCGCAACGAGCGCAACCCUUGUUCACUGUUGCCAGCACGUUAUGGUGGGGACUCAGUGGAGACCGCCGGGGUCAACUCGGAGGAAGGUGGGGAUGACGUCAAGUCAUCAUGCCCCUUAUGUCCAGGGCUUCACGCAUGCUACAAUGGCUGGUACAGAGAGUGGCGAGCCUGUGAGGGUGAGCGAAUCUCGGAAAGCCGGUCUCAGUUCGGAUUGGGGUCUGCAACUCGACCUCAUGAAGUCGGAGUCGCUAGUAAUCGCAGAUCAGCAACGCUGCGGUGAAUACGUUCCCGGGGCU
This 1346-nucleotide ribosomal RNA is filed under the name uncultured bacterium. RNAcentral's name for it is "partial 16S ribosomal RNA". It matches the Rfam family "Bacterial small subunit ribosomal RNA", at positions 28 to 1381 of the family's 1533-position model. The record is from RNAcentral.